RNAcentral lists this ribosomal RNA (595 nucleotides) under uncultured archaeon. RNAcentral's name for it is "bacterial SSU rRNA". It matches the Rfam family "Archaeal small subunit ribosomal RNA", at positions 102 to 697 of the family's 1478-position model. The record is from RNAcentral.
GGAUAACCUACCCUUAGGACCGGGAUAACCUUGGGAAACUGAGGAUAAUACUGGAUAGGCAAUUAUUCCUGGAAUGGUUUUUUGUUUAAAUGUUUUUUCGCCUAAGGAUGGGUCUGCGGCCGAUUAGGUAGUUGGUUAGGUAACGGCUUACCAAGCCAUUGAUCGGUACGGGUUGUGAGAGCAAGAGCCCGGAGAUGGAACCUGAGACAAGGUUCCAGGCCCUACGGGGUGCAGCAGGCGCGAAACCUCCGCAAUGUGAGAAAUCGCGACGGGGGGAUCCCAAGUGCCAUUCUUAACGGGAUGGCUUUUCAUUAGUGUAAAGAGCUUUUGGAAUAAGGGCUGGGCAAGACCGGUGCCAGCCGCCGCGGUAACACCGGCAGCUCUAGUGGUAGCAGUUUUUAUUGGGCCUAAAGCGUCCGUAGCCGGUUUAAUAAGUCUCUGGUGAAAUCCUGUAGCUUAACUGUGGGAAUUGCUGGAGAUACUAUUAGACUUGAGACCGGGAGAGGUUAGAGGUACUCCCAGGGUAGAGGUGAAAUUCUGUAAUCCUGGGAGGACCGCCUGUUGCGAAGGCGUCUAACUGGAACGGUUCUGACGG